CCUACGGGUGGCAGCAGUGAGGAAUAUUGGUCAAUGGACGCAAGCCUGAACCAGCCAUGUCGCGUGCAGGAAGACGGCCCUAUGAGUUGUAAACUUCUUUUGUACGAGGGUAAACGCAGAUACGAGUAUCUGUCUGAAAGUAUCGUACGAAUAAGGAUCGGCUAACUCCGUGCCAGCAGCCGCGGGAAAACGGAGGAUUCAAGCGUUAUCCGGAUUUAUUGGGUUUAAAGGGUGCGUAGGCGGUCGGAUAAGUUAGGGGGUAAAUUCCGGGGCUCAACUUCGGAAUUGCCUCUGAUACUGUCGGGCUAGAGAGUAGUUGCGGUAGGCGGAAUGUAUGGUGUAGCGGUGAAAUGCUUAGAGAUCAUACAGAACACCGAUUGCGAAGGCAGCUUACCAGGCUACUUCUGACGUUGAAGCACGAAAGCGUGGGGAGCAAACAGGAUUAGAUACCCCGGUAGUC
RNAcentral lists this ribosomal RNA (460 nucleotides) under uncultured bacterium. RNAcentral describes it as "partial 16S ribosomal RNA". It matches the Rfam family "Bacterial small subunit ribosomal RNA", at positions 338 to 795 of the family's 1533-position model. The record is from RNAcentral.